Daphnia magna is the source of this 5116-nucleotide long non-coding RNA. RefSeq lists it as uncharacterized. The transcript has 12 exons. The record is from RefSeq and is a predicted model, not a curated record. Lineage: Eukaryota; Metazoa; Arthropoda; Branchiopoda; Diplostraca; Daphniidae.
UGACAAGUCAUCGUCAUCCCUGUCAAAUUUUGGAAUGACGGUGCAUGGUUUCCCCUCCACAGUGAAAAGAGUCAAUACUCAGCGGUCAUUUCCGUUUUGUAACUAGUUCAAGGAUUACGACAUCCAAAUGAUUUGCUGACAUCGCGAAAGUCCUUUUCAUUUUAUUACACAAGGUCGCAAGUUAUCACCGGUAAUAGUUUUUUGCUUGAGGGAAAAUGCUGUACAGCACAAGCCGGCCAUUUUGGAUUGCAUUUGUGAUGAGGAUGGGGCAGAUUCUUUUUCUUCUUUCUCGAAAGAAACUCAAAUGUGCCAAGAAUCGAACCCUUUCUCCUAAUCCACCAUUAAGGCUGAUGCAACGAAAACGACGAUCUAGUUUUGUCACAGCUGCAAGAGCGUCCGGUCAGUUGUGAGUUGCUUCUUUUCUUUACUUUCUUUUUUCAUGCGUUACACCUGUUUGUUGCAAAGGUUUUGUUUGUGCUACUAUCAACUGAAGUAGCCAUAUGAUGUGUCAAUCACGUAUACGGAGAAAAAAGCUUUAUUUACUAUCGUUUGGGUGAAACCGUUAUUGCAUUAAUUUUACCAUUGAAUUAUGUUAAUGGUUUUAUCUUUCAUUAAUAACUCGUAACUAUUGAGAGUAGUGCACAACAACGUUUUGAUGUUGUAAUGUAUUUUUUGGCUUGCUAGAUUCAAUCAAAAUCAGCGUUUUGUGACUAGACCAUGGUGACUUUUUGACAAGAGUGUACGUUCUUGCAUUAGGACAAUAUUCAUUUGAAGAAUUAGUUUCUCUUUGCAAUUUUCUUUUGGUGACUUUAGUGCUCUCGAUGUAAGUGUCUUGGUGUCCGUGCAUAUGAAACUUCCCAUGUAUAAUAACGUUAUCAGAUCGAUAAGCUAAAAGUCUGGUUGGUUACCAAUUGAACUGUAGACAGUUUGACACGUUGUUCAUCAAAAAUUUCUUUAUUCGAAGCGUCAAUCGGGAAUGAAUAUAGCAACAUGCUGAUUUCAUAUUAUUUGAGAAAAACGCACAGAUAUAGCAGGAAGAGGUGGGUCGUACGAUAUACAUUCAACUCACGUACACCCCAUACCAACAAGGCACAUUCCACAUUAUUGAAAGAAACCACCAGCCCUAUUUGCCACGGAACUACGAACUAAUCAUCAGUGACGCUUUGUGAUGAAGUCAGAAAUUUGCUUCUUUUGCUGCAAGUACUCCAUAACUUCUCAUGGAAUGGCUGAUAACACAAAUGUUGUGUAAAAAUAAAGGAUAUUGUAGCAUCGUUAUAAAUUUCCAACAUCCGGAGUGUACCGCAUGUUCCAUUAACGAUGUCCUACAAGAAUUAAGCUUGUGUAGCUCCAUCGUAAUUAGGGAAAUUGCUGCUGGGAUCCAUUACGCAGGCGUCUCAAAACAAUUGCUGAUUCUUUUGCAAAAGGCGAUAAAACAAUACUGGAUUAACGGCAGCAUUUGCUAUGGCCAGCCAAUAAACGCUCAUGUAAAUCCGUUUCGUCGUGACAUUCUCUUCCGUCUGAAAAGCCUGGUACAUCAAGUACGUCUGAUAGGGUAGCCAGCACAAACAGAAGAUGACCAAUAUCGCCCACAUGCCACCUGCUAAAUUCUUAAACGUAGAUAAAACGACACUUAGCUGGAGAUUAUUUCGCAUUCCAUCGUCCUCGACGGUUAGGACGGUACUUGUUGUUAGUACGACGGCGAUCCGGAAGUUCCAAUAGGCCAUUGACACCGAUGGCAGAAGGAAAAUUGCCUUAAGGACGUUAAAAAGCUUACCCAUCAAGGAUGUAAAUGAAAUUGAAGAUGCCUUCUAAAUAGAGCAUAGCAAAAUCAGCUAUUGUGAGGCUCAACAUGAAGCAACUAUGAGCUUUGGCCAAUCGUCGUCGAGCUUUUUAAAAUUGGUAUUAUUUAAAAGGUUUAUUUUCUCGUUAUUAAAUUUAUUAUUAAAGCCAUAUAGUUUCAUACCUAUUAUAAACCAUGUGACUAAGCUAUUGCCCAUUGUAGCCACAACAAGAAGUACACCAAAUGCAAAAAUCCAUGCCGUCUUCUCAUCCGCGUCCAACUGCGACGUAGACACUCCAGUCAUGUUAGAAGCCACUAAAAGGUGAUCUUUUGCAUCUUGGCCAAUAAUGGGUUCUUUCAUCCUUAGUUAAUCUAGGGGACCACUGAAUGGGUAAGAGAAAAAUAAAAUAGCGCCAUUUGCUACACUUGAUUAAGUGUGACAUUUAUGGUAUCCGAAUCGCGUUGUGUGAUGAUUAAUUGGUGUCGGGCUAUUAGAUUGAGUAGCGUGCAAGUAAAAGACUGAAGAGAUCGAUUACCACUUUCACAUUUGAUAGGGAUCGUGUCACACUAUUUCUUCUCUCAUUCCCUUUUUCUUUCUACAAACGGUUUCCACGUCUACGUAUUUUAAAUGUACCAUCUUCAUUCUUUCUUCCUGUAAACCAGCAGAGCCUGUUUCUUUUAUUUUACUUUUGACAUCACGAAGUGUUUCGCUUGGCACUUUUGUUUAGUGAUUUUUAAAGAAUUUGGGCUGCCAAUCAACUAAGGGUUUUUCCUUUUAGAUUGAUCGCAUAUUUCAUUCACUAGCUGCACGUUUAAUGCAAGGCUUGCUAGCUCCUCGAUGGAGUACUUAGUACUAGGACUUUAUCUUUUGGAAGUUUUGGGGAUCUUUUUAAUCAUAUUUCUCUAUUUUAAAGCAUGUGAACCUUAGAUAUCUUUUGGAAAGAUCCAUAAGUCGACAAGCUUUGAAUUGAUGUAUGUUGGAUCAAAACAUUUGAUGCAACCCUGAUCAAGUCCCAAACGUAGAAAUAUUUUACUUACUAGCUUUUCUAUACAACUUGAUUCCGAAUUCAUUGGACCUUUUUACAAAUUCUUAUCGCAUAAUCUUAAAUUAUCACAUAACUAUCAUACAAAAUUUAAAGCUAGAAUUGAUGAGUCUCUUUUUUUUUUCCCUAUUCUGGCUUUAUACGCUUACCGGGUAUUCCGGCGGAAUUUCACGGGCUGUGACGAUAAUUGGUAACGGACGUUUCAAUAUCACUUAGCGUCCGACUUCUCAGGAUGUUGUAAACUGGCGUUCAAAAGCUAGAUAUAGCAUCUUGUAAUAGAUCGUAGGCUUUUUACAAGAUUUUCCUUUCCCGGUGCCUAAAGGAAGGUAGCAACGACGGACAUGCGCUAUGAUAAGUUUCCAAAUGAAGGAGAAGUCAGGACAGUUUAGAUGUCAAGGAGUCCGACUGAUAAAGCUUCUGAACACUUCCAUUACAAAGUUAUUCGACAAGCAUUCUUUUUAUUUUCUUGUAACUUGUAAAAAAAAAACGUUUGAGCAUCUGUAGACGGGCGAUAUCACGGUGUGGGAAGCAAAGCUAUUAAAGGAUCGUAGAGAAGUCGAUUGCUAUUCACUCCCCAGAGGAAAUCGAGAUGAUUGAACUCUGGCCAAUCAAUCCUCACAGAUGACUGCAAGUUCCCCAGCUGUUUUGACAGCCACUCGAUGUCCUGUCGCAAGCAAAUCCCCAGGACCCCAGAAGAGGUACACUGGAGCUGUCACCAGGCUAAGAUUGUACGAUGGAGGCCGGGAGAUACCAUAGCGGCGUAAAUUCUCGGAAGGACCGUGGUCGUAGGCCCGAAACUGUUCUCCUUCACGUUUACCUGCACCAGACGGAAAGCUCUGGUGCGUGUGGAUCGCAAAAAGAACUGACCGUCUACGUGAGGAGCAAGGGCCUUCACAGGGCUGUUGAAAUGGGCCAUGCUGGCAACAGGUGCCAAGCCAAUCAUCAAAUCGAUUUUAUGGUUCAGUUCCGGCCGACUGGCCGUCGCUAUAUAAAACAUGGCAGCACCCAUUGAAUGACUGCCAUAACAUGAAGCACGUUAAUCCUGUUUACGAUCCAUUGUUGUUAACAACUUGUUACCCGAUAUAUAUAAGCUUGGGUUGCUGAGUCAACUUGAGAAUGAAUUCAAUGUUGGCAGGCACGUCAUACAGCCCCAUUUCGUCGUACCUAAUGCGUUGUUACGAGAAAUUCCAGUAUGCUUCUUUUUUGGGAUCCAGUUGGACGUGUUGUCUCGAAUAUGUGUUUCCUCUUGAAUUUGAAAGGGAUUGACCGGCAGGAUUGGUGAUCCAGUCAACAUCUGUACUCAAUAGCCCAUGUUGGAGCAAUACAGGUCGACCACUGGACAAACCAAUACGAUGCAAUUCCAGAAUGUAUCCAUCUUCUGUUGUGACGUGGUAGACGGUGCAAACAUAGCCACGUGAACGGAUUAUCUCCACCUACAGAACAAAAGUAUUCAGAACCAUUUGAUACAUGCGCAUGUAACUCAUUCGUACCGUUGACAUGGUGGCAUCCGGAUUGCGGACAUUGGUGGCAAUGCAAAGGGUGUGAUGAACCAACGUCAGCACCAGAAUUUCGACGAACAAGACAAGUCGCAUUCCCAACAAAGGACGAAAAGACUGACCCAUCAGCUGAACAGCUAACAGCCAGGUGUAAGGGCCAUUGCACAGCUAAUGAAUGAGAAUGAAGAAGAAAUUGAAUGUAUCCCUACAGCAACCUCUCUAUACCUUUCGAUUUGCCGUUGGGGAUUUCUGAACACGAAUGGCUGUCUGGCUUAAGCUGGAAUACCGUUUUAGAGCACUGUUCGUCAAGCGGGUACGGGCUUAACUUUUUUGUCACGUGUAGAGUCAAAAUUCUAUUAUAGGGUUCAUGACCUUGAUGUGUGUCAGGUUUGAUGAACCCGUUAUUGCCAUAGAGAGACGAGAACGGCUGGCUACCUGCGUCGAAUAAUAUAGUGAUGUCCUGUAGUAAACUACGUACAGGUAAAGCUCCGACCCCAAAUCGUCUUUAUGCUGGAAAUUCGAAUGUCAUGUAAAAAGAAAAGUUUAUUUCUUAGUCUGGGAUUUUGGCUCAGAAGAUUUCCACACAAUAUUAGUGUAAUGUUACACAUUGUCACAUUAAAAUAUUUAUUACAAACAUGUCGAAUGAGGUAGAUUCAAUUGGCCCUGCAAUACGCGUGUUUGCAGCUUCUAUUUGAAGAAAAAGAAAUAAUUGAAACAAUGAAAACAAUAAUAAAUAUUGACUCGAGUAACAUACCAAAAAGAUAAAAUUUAAAGAAUACAUUACUUUUUGAAAUACG